CUGAAAAAGCUUCAGCUCGUUGUCCUGCCAAGUUCUGUAAAGGGAGCCCUGCCCGGUGAGAUCCCUAUUUCUGUGGCUCCCCCCUUUUCCCCUCUUCCCAGAUCCCUCUCUUUUCCUCUCUCCCUCUCCCCUGAUCACUCUUUUCCUCUCCUCCCAAUCCCCCUCUUUUCUUAUAGCCUACUGUGGAUAGAGACGGAACAGGGACACAUCUGGUCCGCUACAACUGAAUCUGGAGAGACAAACACCAACCUUUCACACAAAGCUAACUUGGGUUCUCCUGCUGUCCCCUGCAGAUUGACGAGGGAUGUGUCUGCCUGGCCGGCACGGCAGCAAGGUCAAUCUCUGAGUGUGCACAGAGGGACGCAUCUCCCGGACAGCGUUGACUCUCCUGGUGUUCACAGCUGUUGUGGACUCCACCUGCACCCACCUCUCGCUCUGACGUCUCUGAAUACCAACAAGGAGGAAGACACAGAAAGGCAGGUGGGCCGGCAUUAUGUUGGAGGAAUUCUGUACCAGCAACACAGACGGGACAGAGGCGGGUGCCGAUAAGAUAGAUCAUGGGAUUGUAAGGCCCAGGAGCCCACAUGGGACCCAGCGGAGAGUUAAAGUCCAACUACACUCUGAUGAUACAGACGCACCGCCACCGCCAUUCCAACCGGAUAAACACUCCAGCAAUGGCUGCCGUUCAGUGGAGUCUCUGGAUGCUGGAUUGAGACAAAGAGUGUGUGUGACUGUGCAGCCUACCAGUAAACCUUCAGGCUGCUGCUGUGGCGUAAGCCGCAGGAAGGGCCUUGGGCCUUGUGUACUGUGCUGCAGCCAAAGUAAACCGAUCACAGACGUCUGCAAUGACUCUGACAGUAACACUCCAGUCCAGAGAGCAGGGAUCUCACCUCAGACGUACACAGCGGAUAAAACAGGAUAUGUUACACAGAGCAUUGUGGGUACUGUAGUACAUCAUGGUACAGAUGUACGUAGGAGUGUCAAGGAGUUGGAGUCGCAGGAGUUGUCUCCUCUGUGCAAUACAAGGACACUGCCAGGUGAGGGCAAGAACUGGUUUCAGAGCUUGCUCUACUCUGGUACCUCCUUAGGUGAUAGAGGCAAGGAGGCUGUAGGGGGCAAAGUGUCAGGCUCAGCAUCCUCAGUCCCAUCUUCCCCCACAAGAGUCGCUACGGGCAGCUUUGCCUUCUGUCUCGUAGAGGAGAUGACGUCAUCAACAGUCGCUGACACCAGCUGUACCCACGGACUCAGAGAUGGGCACAUCAGCCCAGGGGGCAAGGCCAAAAAGCAAAGGUGCUCUACACUGGCACUCCUUCCCACCAGCCCUCCCAAAAGCCCCACAGCUUUGAAGAUGGACUCAGACAAUGGGUUAGGAUUUGACUGCGAGACUGAGGAUAGCUUUGUAUAUAAUAAGAGGGAGCGUUCGACGGUCCUGGUCCGUAGGUUCUUGAGGGAUAACCAGAGGGUGAAGAAGUCUGUGUGUACAGGGACUAGGGCAAUCAUCAGGACAUUACCCUCGUGGAGGAUCAGUGAGGAAGCGUGGGACGCUGUCUGCAGAAGGGACCGUUUCUCUGGGCCUAGGGAAUACAGUCGCUUGAGUGGAUACAGUUCAACCUCUCAGAGUCUACAUCUGCAAGCAUGUAAACCUCACCUUGGAAAUAAAGGAGACAUGUUUUUUGAGGCAUGCCAUGCUCUGAGUGCUGAAGUAAGGGUGGCCAGAUCCGGAGAGCUACUCCUUUCUUCCAGGAAGCUGCUGUUGUCUGCCGAGAGGAGGGAUCUGUGUCGUAGGAGGGCCACAUUGCCAUGGCCAGGAGGAGGAGGGGCGUCUAGCUACCGAGCAACCCUACAGAGGACUGACGUUUCUGCCUACAUUUCAGGGACCCUCCUGGAAGUGGUUCUGUCCAUCGGCAACAGGGGAGAAAACGACUCUCCUCCCUGUAUCACAACAAGUCCAUUGGGCUGGGCUGUCCUGAAAGAGCGCCAGCUGCACUCCCCCAUGGCGGGGUCCAGCGUGGUGCCGGCAGCUCCGCUGGCAGAGGUCAACAAGGAGCUGUCUGACCUCUGUCCCCUGGUCAGUUUCCCGGAGGAGAUGGCCUACGUCCUCAUGGAGCAGGAGCUGCAUCUAUACAGCCGGAUCUUACCCCUGGACUACCUCUGUUUCCUCACCCUCGACCUGGGGGGCCCUGAUCAGCCACAGCCCCAGGGGCAGGCACACCAACCUGGACAACCCCAUCUUAUGGCUGGCUGCAGACGGCCCCACAAUGCUGUAGAGGACCUGGUCACAAGAUUCAAUGAGGUGAGCUCCUGGGUGACGUGGAUGAUUAUGACAGCCGGUUCUAUGGAGGAGAAGAGAGAGGUGUUCUCAUGUCUGGUCCAUGUGGCCAGGUGCUGUUGGAACAUGGGAAACUAUAACACCGUCAUGGAGUUCCUGGCUGGACUCAGGUCUCGCAAGGUGCUGAAGAUGUGGCAGUUCAUGGAGCAGUCGAACAUCGAGACAAUGCGUGCUCUGAAGGAUGCUAUGGCGCACCACGAGACAUCUGCAGAGUACAGGAAGGUGGUCUCGCGUGCCCUACACAUCCCGGGCUGCAGGGUAGUGCCCUUCUGUGGGGUCUUUCUGAGAGAGCUAGGGGAGGCCCUGGAUGGAGCAGCUAGCCUGAUCAGCCUCAGACCACGCCUCAGCUCACAGGACUCUGUGGAGUUUCUCUCUGACUACAACGGACAGGACAACUUCUUGCAACGGGCGGGGCCAGAUGGGCUCAACCAACAAGAGAAGGAAGGAACUGUCAAUAACAUCCUACAGACCAUCCGUAGCUGCAACCGCAGUAUGGAGUCUGAGGAUGGGGAGGAGUCCGGAGGGGCUAGUGAUGGGAGCAUCCCUGGUUCACGUAAAAACUCCUUCAUGGACGGCUACCGCAACCAGUUCACCGUGGGCGAUCUCUCCGACUCUGCGGGUGACCCAUCUGACCUAUCACAGGGCAAAGACCCAGACCUCCAGGGUAGUGGUGAGAGGACUCAGAAGGCCUUUGCCCAUGGUACGGAGCUCAUCCCCUGGUACAUCCUUACCCUCCACCCCCACGUGCAGCACUUCCUCCAGCAGGGCGCUACUGUGAUCCAUUAUGAUCAGGACUCCCACCUCACCGCCCGCUGCCUGCUCAGACUCCAACCUGACAAUUGUGUCCUCACCUGGGCCAAGCUCCACAGUGGCGGUGGGGGCCUCCCUGGUUCUAGCUCUGUCCCUGAGUCAUCCAAGCUUCGGAGCCCCACCGGGUCAGGGGCUGGUGGUCAGACCCUCCCCCACUGCAGGCCUCAGUACUGCGGGCAGUCCAUACUGAAAGGCCUGGCGGAUGGAUUCCUGGAUCUCUCCGUGGCUAAAGCUGUCUUCAUGGGCCAUCCAGGGGCUGACAUUCAGGCGGUAUGCCUGCAGAACAAGCUCUCAUGUGGGUUGAGCCUGGAGGAGUGUGGGGUGACUCUGCUCUAUGGGCUCCAUACAACAGACAAUAGGUUAUUACACUUUGUGGCCCCCAGAAACACAGCUAGGAUGGUGUAUUCUGGGCUGCAGGCCCUGUUAGCUGCUCACAGGAGGAUGAGGAGGUUCCCUGAUCAAAGGCUGCAGUGGCUCCGUAGGAAGUACAUCAACCUCUAUCAGGAGGAUGGCAGGUACGAGGGUCCGACACUAGCCCAGGCCAUCGAGCUGUUUGGAGGCAGGAGAUGGAGUGUGGGUGCUGGUAGCAUGGAGAAGUCUGGAGCUCAGAAGAGCAGCCAUCUCACUGUGACCUCCAAUCAGAAGACUGGUAGCUCUAAUAAAAAGAAAAAGAAGGCUGUGACUAGGGGGGACAGUGGGGAUGCCACAGAUGAUGAGAUGGUGUCACAUAAGGUGAAGAGUGGUUGGGAUAUCUUAGUACGGAGUGCACCGGACCCAACAGACAACAUGGACCAAGACCAAGAUGACAACAGCUCCUAUGGUUUCCCAGGGCCUCUCUCCCCCUCCAGCAGUAGAUCCAUGGUCAUUAGCACAUCUUCCUCCUCCAUCUCCUCCUCAUCCUCAGCCUCCAAUCAGAAGGCUCAACCGGGUAAUAGGCCCAAUCAGACACUACCUAGCCGGGGUAAGAGCCAAUCAAAGAGCUUCCAGAACCUCAUGGUAUCAGAUGGCACCAUGAGCUUUACUGAGUUUAUUGAGCUCUUUAAGUCCUUCAGUAUCCGGAGUCGUAAGGACUUGAAAGAUGUGUUUGAUGCCCAUGCUGUGCCCUGUGGUCAGUCUGCCUCUGAGCCUGCUCCUCUCUACACUCACCUCAGCAUCGACGACACAGUCACAGAACUGCAGCCAGACCUGGACCUUCUGACACGUAACAGCCUGGAUCUUGGCCUUUCCAUCCGGAUCAAGCGACACAUGUCAGACAAUCAGAAGCAUAUUUCAGACGCCAUAGCUGCAGCCAGCAUCGUGACCAACAGUACUGGCGUGGAGAGUGUCUCGCUGGGAGCUCUGGGCAUGACCAUCAUGCACCUCAAUGACUUCCUGGUCAACUGUCAGGGAGAGAACCACUCGCAUGAUGAAGUCCUAAGAAUUAUCCAGAAAUUUGAACCGUCUGCCAGUUUGCGUCAGAUUGGCUGGAUGUCCUUUGAGGGAUUUGCACGGUAUCUGAUGGACAAGGACAACUCUGCUUCCAAACUGGAGGAGUCUCAGCUGAAUGUGUUAGAGCUCCAGUACCCUCUGUCUUACUACUACAUCGCUACAUCACACAACACCUACCUGACUGCCCACCAACUCAAGGGAGAGUCAUCUGUGGAGCUGUACAGCCAGGUGCUCCUGCAGGGAUGCAGGAGUGUUGAACUGGACUGUUGGGAUGGAGACGAUGGCAUACCAAUCAUCUAUCAUGGACACACCCUCACUACCCGCAUACCCUUCAAGGAUGUGGUGGAAGCAGUGAACCGAUCAGCCUUUGUGACCUCUGACCUGCCUGUGAUGCUGUCCAUAGAGAAUCACUGCUCCCUGCCGCAGCAACGAAAGAUGGCCAACAUCUUCAAGACUGUGUUUGGGGAUAAGCUGGUGACAAAGUUCCUGUUUGAGAGUGAUUUCUCGGACGACCCGCUGUUGCCAUCACCAUGGCAACUGAGGGGGAAAAUCCUCCUCAAGAACAAGAAGCUGAAAGCUCACCAGACGCCGGUGGACAUCCUCAAACAGAAAGCUCACCAGUUGGCACAGAUGCAUGCUCAGGCCAGUAGUGUGAUGCCUCCUCCCUUCCCAACCAUCAACAAUGAGGAAGAAGAGGAAGAAGAGUAUGAGGAUGAAUAUGACUAUGAGUACGAAUCACUAUCUGAUGCUGACGUCCCCACUUUAUCUCCUGCUUCUUAUGUCCCAGAAGAUAAUAUCCUGGAGGAUAGACCGGAGGGAAAGUCUUCAUCGGGGGAGAAGUUACAGACUGAACACAGUGACGAAGUCCCCAAGAAGAUGAAGAAAUGUGAGAGUGCUACUCACAACAAAGGAAAGGUAUUUGGCAAGGAGUUGGAGGAAGAAUUCAAGCUGCCUCGAAGCAAGAAGGAAGGACGACAGAUAGCCCAGGAGCUCUCAGAUCUGGUGAUCUACUGUCAAGCUGUCAAAUUCCCAGGUCUAUCCACCCCUACUCCAUCUGAUACUCCCAGGGAGAGAAAAGAGAGAAAAGAAGUUCUUUCUUCUAGAGGAAAGGGCAGGAGGUCCAUCUUUGGGAAUCCCCCAGGGAAAGGUUUUCCAGGGGACCCAUCGACAGUGAUGCGCACCCCAGGGCGAGGAGCAGCAUCAGAGGGCCCCCGUCCCAACUGGGAAGAAUCACCCACCUCCCUCAGCUCCCUCAUCCGCACCCCAAAAUGCUAUCACGUUUCCUCAGUCAAUGAGAACGCUGCCAAGCGCCUGUGUCGCCGCUACUCCCGGAAGCUGAUCCAACACACCAGCGCCCAGCUCCUGCGAACUUACCCGGCAGCCACACGUAUUGACUCCACCAACCCCAGUCCCCUACUCUUCUGGCUGCAUGGAAUACAGCUGGUCGCUCUCAACUACCAGACCGAUGACCUGCCCCUGCAGCUGAACGCGGCCAUGUUUGAGCCUAACGGGGGUUGUGGGUAUGUACUGAAGCCCCCGGUCCUGUGGGAUGCCAGCUGCCCACUCUACAGACACUUCUGCCCCCUUGACAGAGACCCAGAGGGCAUGAGCCCCGCCUUGUUCACUCUCACUAUCAUCUCUGGUCAGAAUGUAUGCCCAGGGACCACAGCAGGCAAUCCCUACAUUGAGGUAGACAUCAUGGGCAUGCAGGCAGACGGGUGCCACUUCCGCACCAAACCCAUCCACCGUAACCCCCUGAACCCCAUAUGGAACCAGAGCUUCCACUUCCCCCUACUCAUGGCUGACCUGGCCUUCCUACGGUUUACUGUGGUGGAACACAACAGCUCCCAGACCACGGCUCAUAGGAUCAUACCACUCAGAGCACUCAGGACAGCUAUCCUUCCAAGAACAAGCUACUACUACUACUCAACUGUCAUUCAACCAAUCGAUAGAAAAAGAGCAGACUCUCUGAGCUAUCCAUUCGUACCGGCACCCAAAACGAGUAGAGCUUUCCAUUUCAAUUCACUUGAAGCAGUGACCCUCUCAAUACCGGGAAGCAGGAUCGAACAUGAUGGCUACAUCUACAAAAUGGAACAAAAGCCUGCAAACAACAAUUCAUACUGCAUGUGCAUCAAAUAAUUAUCACAAGUGCCGAGGUCCCAUGGUCUUCACUGACUGGGGGACCAAUAUUUCCAACGUGUCAGGAGUACACAACUAUGACCCGGAUGGAAUGGUGACAGGUCAACAGGUGUGGAACAUGACAGAAAAUGGGAGAUGAAUAACCCGAAGAAGAGGAAUCUGGAGACCGAGAAAAGCAGACACCGCGUUUUGGAGUCAUCAGUUGUCCGAGACUGUCAGAAACAACCCUGUACACAACGUAAAAAAGUGUGUAGACCUACAGAAUCACCGGCAAAAGAAGAAGCAGGCGCCGCCGGUACUGGCUGAAACCAUCCCUGAGAGCCAUGGCAUGGCAGCAGGUAAAGAUAGAACUCUUCCCGACCCUGUCAUCCUUGAGGCAGGAGUCACAGAUGAGGGAGACCCGACGCCGUCUGAGCCGGCAACCCUCUCCGAUUCCGAUCUACCUGCAACCCUGUCCAACCUGGUCAAUCAUACCUGAGAUCUAUCAUAGCACCACGCGUGAACAAGGCCGUGAACCCCAUUUCUUCCAGCACGACAGUGGACCAGGACAGAUUCCUUAUCUUCACAACGAAACCCAACUUAGAAUUCUGUCGGGCAUGCAAGCAUGUGUUUGCAGAUGGAUCAUUCAAGAAGAUCCCAUCUUUAUGCCAGGAGGUGCACACCAUUCACAGGAUGCACAGAAAGGAUGCACCUCACCUGCAUGAUGGAGUCAAUGGUUUAUGCAGCAGCCUAUAUUGUUAUGACGGAUAAGUCUGAGCAAACAUGUUGUUGCACAACACAUAUACUUGUGCGUUCCAAGUGCUGAAGAGCCUGCGACCCACCACGUCAAGAUGUUCUACACACUCACAUUUGUUCUGCCAGCUGACGCGGUGAAGUGUUCCAAGGAGCUGAAGGAAACGGCAUUCUUUUAGGUACCGGAGCUGUCCACCUUUCUGGAGAACUUUGAGAAGACGUGGAUUGUCACUGGGGAGAAAGGAAUAUAACAUGGAAAUGUGUAACUACCACGAUGUUGUCCUACAAGACAUCUGGAAGACCAACAGCAUAGUGAAGGCCUGGUAUCGCUUUGGAAGGCCUGGUAUCACUUUGGUUAUUUUUUGAGAAGACCAGACAACCCACAAUCUGGGAGUUCAUUGACAACUUGUGACUCCUUGGGACGACUACUCAUUACCAAACUGUGGCCUAAAUGUUCUUGCCCCUGCGUCUAUUUGUGUUUUUAAUGCAGGCACUUCUUUUUUUGCUAUUUUCUAUUUUCGAUGCAAACUUUGUUAAACCAGGCUUUUUGUAAAUAAACCUUUCAUUGUAAAUCAUCGGCUUGCUUCAUUCAUUCUUGAGGGAUGAACAAAACGAAUAUGGAGACUGCUGUGCUUUCCCGUUCAGGAACAUUUGGUACUCCAGUCCUGUCCCAUUGGUUCCCACAUUACUCAGACCAAACAUGAAGUCUCUCUGUCCCAUCAAGUCUAUGCUUGGCAGCUUUGGCUCAGCUAACGGAUUCUCUAAAUAUUUUUCCCGCUAUCCAAUAAAACGGUCUGUGUUAAAAUAAUUCCUAUACUUUACAGAAAAAAAUCAAAAUAAAGAACUUUUCAAAUUUGAUUAGCUAAUUGAAUUCACACAGAACUGUAGAAAUGCUAUGCCCAUAUAAAGUUUGUUUUAAAAGAGAGAGCAGGGUAAAAAAAAAUAUAUAAAAAAACUUGAAGGGAGAAAAAGCUACAACGCUGUCAAAUGAGAGCAUUAUAUUCCCAAUACUAACAGUGGCAAUUAUUUCCAAAACGUGUG
This is a non-coding RNA of Oncorhynchus mykiss (rainbow trout), 8479 nucleotides long. The record is from RefSeq and is a predicted model, not a curated record. NCBI's taxonomy places the organism in Eukaryota, Metazoa, Chordata, Actinopteri, Salmoniformes, Salmonidae.